UCAUGGCCCCUAUAGGUGGGGCUACACACGUCAUACAAUGGCUGGUACAAAGGGUUGCUAUCCCGCGAGGGGGAGCUAAUCCCAUAAAGCCAGUCGUAGUCCGGAUCGCAGUCUGCAACUCGACUGCGUGAAGCCGGAAUCGCUAGUAAUCGUGGAUCAGCAUGUCACGGUGAAUACGUUCCCGGGUCUUGUACACACCGCCCGUCACACCAUGGGAGCGGGUUCUGCCAGAAGUAGUUAGCCUAACCGCAAGGAGGGCGAUUACCACGGCAGGGUUCGUGACUGGGGUGAAGUCGUAACAAGGUAGCCGUAUCGGAAGGUGCGGCUGGAACACCUCCUU
This 340-nucleotide ribosomal RNA is filed under the name uncultured Rhodoferax sp. Its description in RNAcentral is "bacterial SSU rRNA". It matches the Rfam family "Bacterial small subunit ribosomal RNA", at positions 1193 to 1532 of the family's 1533-position model. The record is from RNAcentral. Lineage: Bacteria; Pseudomonadati; Pseudomonadota; Betaproteobacteria; Burkholderiales; Comamonadaceae.